AGAGUUUGAUUAUGGCUCAGGAUGAACGCUGGCGGCGUGCUUAACACAUGCAAGUCGAACGGAGUUUAAGUGGAAGUUUCGGAUGGAAGUUAAAAACUUAGUGGCGGACGGGUGAGUAACGCGUGGGUAACCUGCCUCAUACAGGGGGAUAACAGUUAGAAAUGACUGCUAAGACCGCAUAAUAUAGCGAAACCGCAUGAUUUUGCUAUCAAAUAUUUAUAGGUAUGAGAUGGGCCCGCGUCUGAUUAGCUAGUUGGUGGGGUAAAAGCCUACCAAGGCGACGAUCAGUAGCCGGCUUGAGAGAGUGACCGGCCACAUUGGGACUGAGACACGGCCCAAACUCCUACGGGAGGCAGCAGUGGGGAAUAUUGGACAAUGGGGGAAACCCUGAUCCAGCGAACCGCCGCGUGAGUGAAGAAGUAUUUCGGUAUGUAAAGCUCUAUCAGCAGGGAAGAUAAUGACAGUACCUGACUAAGAAGCCCCGGCUAACUACGUGCCAGCAGCCGC
Molecule: ribosomal RNA, 507 nt
Filed under: uncultured bacterium
Lineage: Bacteria
Description: bacterial SSU rRNA
Rfam family: Bacterial small subunit ribosomal RNA
Source: RNAcentral